GAACUGGUGACCGCCUAGUAGUUAGAGCAUCUGCAUCUGAUGCGGGAGGUCGUGGGUUCAAUCCCCAAACCGAGUCAUAUCA
Molecule: non-coding RNA, 82 nt
Organism: Potamilus streckersoni
Lineage: Eukaryota; Metazoa; Mollusca; Bivalvia; Unionida; Unionidae
Source: the annotation of a GenBank genome assembly